Populus nigra (black poplar) is the source of this 456-nucleotide long non-coding RNA. RefSeq lists it as uncharacterized. NCBI's taxonomy places the organism in Eukaryota, Viridiplantae, Streptophyta, Magnoliopsida, Malpighiales, Salicaceae. The record is from RefSeq and is a predicted model, not a curated record. The transcript is spliced from 2 exons.
UCUGGCCGAACCAAGCUGGGUGUAGUCAUUUGAGCCAGAGCCCAAAUGGCAUGCGUGUUGCCAUUUGGGCCACGAGGCGACCGGCAACAAGGAAGAAAUUAUCGUUAUUUUCUUAAAGUUGUGCACCAUCAAUUUCCAAACACAUUCUGGAUUGUCUUUUGACAGGCUUUUUGAUUGUACUGCAUUGAGUUAUGUCUUCCACAAUACGAUUUAUAAUGCCAAAUUCUUCUCUUACUCACACAUAACUUGCAGCAGAAGUCAUCGGAUGCAGUACAGACUAUGUUACUCAAAAUGCCAGAGCACCAUUGUCGAUCGCAUCCGUAUCAUAGUCACUCUAGAAAUCAAUUUAAGAUAUGCAGUCUCAAUGUUCUAGUGUAAUAUUUAUGUGUUUCUGAGCAUGCUUACCAUGCUUUGUUUCUGAGCAUCAUGAAUGGGAGCUAGUGCAGCAUUGGCCUA